GAUGGAUCAAACUACUGUAGUAACAAAAUCCGGCGGAAACAGUGGAGUAUAAUAAUGCGGCUAAUCUGACAUCAGAUCAGAGGGACUGGAUUACCGCUUGUGUUAUUAUUGGUAAAUAAACAAAGCAGCAGGCAGUGGCCGGCCCACCCCCAUGCAUGCAUGUCCUCUCCAACUGUCCGUCCCCACGGGCAUCCUCGGCCUCCCAGAAAGAGGGCCACCCACCACGACCACACCAAUAUAUAUUCACCGCAGAGGAGCAAAGAAUCAAAGAGUUGUCUCCCACACAAAGCAACAUCCACAUUCCUCCUCCCAACACACGAGAGUUCUUCCUCUUCCAAGGAACCCAGGCCAACCAAACACACACAGAGUAAGAGAUGAACAUCCACUAGAGAAGCCGGUACGGGCCCAGAUGGACAGGGGCGUGCUCCUGAUGAUUUUGCUGGCGGCGGCGGCGACGCUCCUGUGCCUCCCGCUGGUGCUGCCCCCGCUGCCGCCGCCGCCGGCCUUCCUGCUCUUCGUCCCUGUGGUGAUGAUGCUCCUGCUCUUCUCCCUGGCUCUCCUCCCCUCCACAAACUGCGAGUGCCCGUCCCAGUAGGAGACAACAGAGCACACAAAGAGAGUCAGGUCAGGUGGCUCUCAGGAGAACUUCUGCUCUGCCUUCCAAGCCCAGGCCGGAUGAGGAGCCAGCCAUGGUUAUGUAGUAGAAUACCAAGAAAUGCAUGCUAAUUAGCUGGUCAUUCCUGGCUUUCCCCGCAAUCUUCUGGCUGCGGAACGCUGUACAUUAGUAAGCCGGCGAUGAGGACGGCUGCGCCUGCGACGAAGCCGGGAGGGAGGGUCGACGCCACGCCGAUGUACGGCAGCGGUAGGGUGAAGGCGUAGAUCGACAGCGGGACUGCAUCAAAGAAAGGCCAUCAUUAGUGCUGUUGUACAGGCAUGCUGCAUAUCUACUUGUACAAGGGAACAAUGAGUAGUAAUCAGAAUGCUAGUUGAAUGAUUA
Long non-coding RNA from Triticum aestivum (bread wheat), 997 nucleotides. RefSeq lists it as uncharacterized. Lineage: Eukaryota; Viridiplantae; Streptophyta; Magnoliopsida; Poales; Poaceae. The transcript is spliced from 2 exons. The record is from RefSeq and is a predicted model, not a curated record.